AGGGUCUUUGGUGAAUGCCUUGGCGCUGGGAGCCGAUGAAGGACGUGGCAGGCUGCGAUAAGCCUCGGGAAGCCGUCAAGCAGGCGUUGAUCCGGGGAUGUCCGAAUGGGAAAACCCGGCUGGGGUAAUGCCCAGUCACACUGGUCUGAACACAUAGGGCCAGGAGAGGCAACCGGGGGAAUUGAAACAUCUCAGUACCCCGAGGAAAGUAAAGCAACAGCGACUCCCUGAGUAGCGGCGAGCGAAACGGGAAGAGCCUAAACCAGCGCGGUGUCAUAGGUCGACGCCGUUGCCGUGCUGGGGUCGUGGGACCCACCUGACGGUGCGUCGAAGCCGUCGAGGAGUUACAAACUCAGGUGUUAGCCGAACAUGCCUGGAAAGGCAGGCCGUAGGAGGUAAUAGCCCUGUAGGCGAAAACACUCUGAGCUCCUGGUGGAGUUCCCAAGUAGCACGGGGCCCGUGAAAUCCCGUGUGAAUCUGCGAGGACCACCUCGUAAGGCUAAGUACUACCCAGCGACCGAUAGUGAACUAGUACCGUGAGGGAAAGGUGAAAAGCACCCCGGUGAGGGGAGUGAAAUAGAACCUGAAACCAUUGACUUACAAGCAGUCGGAGGGUCACUUCGGUGAUCUGACGGCCUGCCUUUUGAAGAAUGAGCCAACGAGUUAGCAGUACGUGGCAAGGUUAAGGCGUGAGCCGUAGCCGCAGCGAAAGCGAGUCUGAAUAGGGCGAGUAGUCGCGUGCUCUAGACCCGAAGCCGAGUGAUCUAUCCAUGGGCAGGGUGAAUCGAGGGUAAGACCUCGUGGAGGCCCGAACCCACCAAGGUUGAAAACUUGGGGGAUGACCUGUGGAUAGGGGUGAAAGGCCAAGCAAACUCGGCGAUAGCUGGUUCUCCCCGAAAUAGCUUUAGGGCUAGCGUCGCAUGUUCCACCGUGGAGGUAGAGCACUGAUUGGGUUAGGGGGCCAACAAGCUUACCGACCCCAGUCAAACUCCGAAUACCACGGUGCCACAGUGCGGCAGUCAGACCAUGAGGGAUGAGCUUCAUUGGUCAAAAGGGAAACAGCCCAGAUCGCCAGCUAAGGCCCCUAAAUCAGGACUAAGUGGGGAACGAUGUGGAAUCGCCCAAACAGCCAGCAGGUUGGCUUAGAAGCAGCCAUCCUUUAAAGAGUGCGUAACAGCUCACUGGUCGAGUGAUUCUGCGCGGAAAAUGUAACGGGGCUCAAGUCCUGUGCCGAAGCUGCGAGAUUCCAUCAUUGCUCGGCCCGUCUCCUCCGGGAGUCGGGUCCAGGCGAUGGGAUCGGUAGGGGAGCGUUGAGUGGCCAGCGAAGCGGCGGCGGAAGCCAGCCGUGGAGGCCACUGAAGUGAGAAUGUUGGCAUGAGUAGCGAAAGAGGAGUGAGAAUCUCCUCCGCCGAAUGUCCAAGGUUUCCUGGGGAAGGUUCGUCCGCCCAGGGUUAGUCGGGACCUAAGGUGAGGCCGCGAGGCGUAAUCGAUGGAUAACUGGUUGAUAUUCCAGUACUACCACGCACGCGCCAAGGCUGAAUCCGGUUUGCUAAGGAAAGCCCUUCGGGGCCUACCGACCCAACUGGUAUUAGGCCAGCGAUGGGGUGACGUGGAAGGCUAAACAGACCCGGGCGUUGGUUGACCCGGGGUAAGCGUGUAGGGCGAGGUCCAGGCAAAUCCGGACCUCACGAAGCCUGAGGCGUGAUACCGACCCGCCAUUAGGGGAAGCUGUCUAAGCCACGCCACCGAGAAAAACCUCUAGCAAGUGUGCGGGGUACCCGUACCCCAAACCGACACAGGUGGACAGGUUGAGAAUACCAAGGCGAGCGAGAGAACCGUGGUUAAGGAACUCGGCAAAUUGGCCCCGUAACUUAGGGAUAAGGGGCGCCCCGGUAGGGUGAAAGGACUUCGCGUCCUCGAGCCCGAGGGGGCCGCAGUGACUAGGCCCAAGCGACUGUUUAUUAAAAACACAGCAGCGUGCUAAGUCGUAAGACGAUGUAUACGCUGUGACGCCUGCCCGGUGCCGGAAGGUUAAGAGGAGCGGUUAGCACUUCGGUGCGAAGCUGUGAAUCUAAGCCCCGGUAAACGGCGGCGGUAACUAUAACCGUUGAACAGAAAUCUGAUGGCGGUUACAAAACUUGGCUAUAUGCUGGAACAUCCGAGCAUCCGGCGGUACUCGUUCAUGUCAGAGAGACCAAAAGUCUUGCUGACAUGAACAGUGACAAUCCGACCGGUGCGGACAAUCAGCAGGAAACCAAAGUGACACGGCAGACGUUCGAUCCGAGCUGGAUCGUUUGUUUCGUAGACGGUGAAGGCUUUCUUCUUUUGCCUUACACCGAAACUGCAGGCAACGCGAAUCGGAGGCUGGUAACUCACGCCAGCUUUCAGGUUUACCAGCACGAGUUGCAACGUGGUGUUCUCGAAGAGACCGCAGCCUUCUACGGCUGUGGAGCGAUCUACCCCAAGGGCUCAACAGCAAAGUGCUCACCUACUUGGUGGGUGCGCUGAGGGACUCGAAGGUGCCGAUUGACCUCUCUUCGAGCGGCAUCGACUUCGUGUCAAGGCCCGGGACUUGGAACUAGACGCGAUCAUCGUGAGAUGGUUACGUCGUUAAAGAACUCCUGGAGCCGGAUGGCUUCGAGCGUGUGGUUCGCCUUGCCAAUGAGAUGAAUACUCUUGGCAAACAGCGAGCCGUCUUAUCGAGCAAAUCCCGCAGGGAUCCUCAGAGACUGUACGCCAGGCACCGAGGUGAGUAUCGGUGAUGAUACAGUCCGAUCCUCAUGGCGACAUGGGGAGCUGGGCAGAAAUGAUCCGGCCGGCCAUUUAUUGAGAAUGGUGAGUAACAAGAAUGCCUAAGGUAGCGAAAUUCCUUGUCGGGUAAGUUCCGACCUGCACGAAUGGCGUAACGACGGCCACACUGUCUCCACCCGAGACUCAGUGAAAUUGAAAUU
This 2951-nucleotide ribosomal RNA is filed under the name marine metagenome. RNAcentral describes it as "bacterial LSU rRNA". It matches the Rfam family "Bacterial large subunit ribosomal RNA", at positions 15 to 2044 of the family's 2925-position model. The record is from RNAcentral.